Molecule: long non-coding RNA, 1250 nt
Organism: Rosa rugosa (rugosa rose)
Lineage: Eukaryota; Viridiplantae; Streptophyta; Magnoliopsida; Rosales; Rosaceae
Exons: 5
Source: RefSeq, a predicted model, not a curated record
AUGAGAUCAACAAGCUAAUUGGUGAAGCAGAUGCUCUGUAAUAUUUGAGAUUAUGGCUGUCAUGUACCCAUAAGCAGUCAUUUGGUGCAGGCAAAGGCAUUCUCAGAGGCCAAAAAAAAUUCAGAGGUGAAUUUUGAAAGAGCUUUUACAGCUAUCUUUCAUUGACACGCGCAAAAGAAUGCGAGUUUCUACGGAGGUUUACUUACAUCCAUUUACGUUAUAAGCACUAAGCAAUCCCUUAACUUCAUGAAGUUCCGCACCAAGGCAAGGUUUCCUGUCAGCAAAAGAAGCUUUCAGUUUGUGCCUCCAAAUUGUCCUCCAAAGUGGUGGUGUAAGAUUAUUGGGCUAACUCUGUUUUCCUAAACUCUUUUAAAAUCGUUACUAGCUUGGAAAGAGAUGAAUUGAAAAUUCUUAAUGGCUUUCACAAUACAGCAAGCCAAGAUUUUCUCCUUGUUUUAUUGUCAAUAUUGGGGAUUUGGUUUCUCCAAAGCAACUGCUAGCCAUCUAGUCUGAGAUCUUUGGAUGAUAAUCAUGAUAUGGAAUGGAAAAAACCAAUCUAAGAUGAAGCCAGUUGUGUUGAAUUGAACUUUUAACGUUUGUAGUCCCAGCUAGUGUUCAAGGUUUUCCAGUUUUGAAAAUAAAUUUCGAUUAUGUCUGUGUUGAGUUGAACUUAAUUGUCCUUUCAGAUUUUAGUCUCAGAUGGUGUUGGUCUUUUUAGUGCCAGCCAAGCUGAGAUGUUCCACUAGAGUUGGGAGUACGUACGGAUGCCAUUGUUCUUUCGGUUACUGGGCAAAAGUUUGGAUAUAGGCUCAUCUGUGCUUGUGGAUACUUAGCUGAACAACCUAUCAGGAGUGGACACAUGGGCAACAUGCUCCAAGUCAGCUCGGAAAACUUAUCAAGGAGCCUCACAUUCACACAUGAUGAGACGUCUGCCCAUGCCUUGUAGCUACUUAAACAGUCAAACAUUAAGGAUCUUCAAUUCCAUGCCUCAAGGGACGAUGUUUCAUCAUUCUCCAUUCAGUUGCAUUCGCUUUUUUACUUGUAUUUUCACAGCUAAACCAUUAUACAGUGUAAUUGACCAUAUUUAUUUUGAUCAUAGUGAAACCACUAGCAAACUACCGUGACGUAGCCCUAAGCUCCAGGCUCUAGCUGAGUUGUGGGUGGUCAUCGUGACGUAGCCCUAAGUUCUAGGCUCUGGCUAAGUUUUGGGUGAACACGUAAUUCUCUUGUGUUAUUUUGUGUGAUUGUCU